AAUCAACGCUGGCGGCGUGCCUCAGACAUGCAAGUCGAACGAUUAAAGCUCCCUUCGGGGAGUGCAUAAAGUGGCGCACGGGUGAGUAACACGUAAGUAAUCUACCCUCGGGUGGGGAAUAACAUCGGGAAACCGAUGCUAAUACCGCAUAAUGCAGCGGCACCGCAAGGUGACAGUUGUUAAAGAUUUAUUGCCUGGGGAGGAGCUUGCGGCAGAUUAGCUUGNGGUAAGGUAACGGCUUACCAAGGCUACGAUCUGUAUCCGGUCUAAGAGGACGGUCGGACACACUGACACUGAAUAACGGGUCAGACUCCUACGGGAGGCAGCAGUCGGGAAUUUUGGGCAAUGGGGGAAACCCUGACCCAGCAACGCCGCGUGAAGGAUGAAGGCCCUUGGGUCGUAAACUUCUUUUAUCGGGGAAGAAUAAAUGACGGUACCCGAUGAAUAAGCCACGGCUAACUACGUGCCAGCAGCCGCCGCAGU
This 483-nucleotide ribosomal RNA is filed under the name uncultured bacterium. Its description in RNAcentral is "bacterial SSU rRNA". It matches the Rfam family "Bacterial small subunit ribosomal RNA", at positions 32 to 524 of the family's 1533-position model. The record is from RNAcentral.